RNAcentral lists this long non-coding RNA (65 nucleotides) under Junco hyemalis (dark-eyed junco). Its description in RNAcentral is "lncRNA (ENSJHYG00000007176.1)". The record is from RNAcentral. Lineage: Eukaryota; Metazoa; Chordata; Aves; Passeriformes; Passerellidae.
CUCAGUUGCCAAUGAUCUGAACCAUUUUGUUCAGCAUUUUGCAGUGACAGCUCUCUGCAGUGAGC